AUUGAACGCUGGCGGCAGGCCUAACACAUGCAAGUCGAGCGGAUGAAGGGAGCUUGCUCCUGGAUUCAGCGGCGGACGGGUGAGUAAUGCCUAGGAAUCUGCCUGGUAGUGGGGGAUAACGUCCGGAAACGGGCGCUAAUACCGCAUACGUCCUGAGGGAGAAAGUGGGGGAUCUUCGGACCUCACGCUAUCAGAUGGGCCUAGGUCGGAUUAGCUAGUUGGUGGGGUAAAGGCCUACCAAGGCGACGAUCCGUAACUGGUCUGAGAGGGUGAUCAGUCACACUGGAACCUAGAAACCGUCCCGGCCCCCUAGGGGGGGCACCGUGGGGGAUUUUUGGAAAAGGGGCGAAGCCUUAAUCCGGCCAGCCCGGGGGGGUAAAAAAGGUUUUCGGUUUUUAAAGCACUUUAAGUUGGGAGGAAGGGCAGUAAGUUAAUACCUUGCUUUUUUGCCGUUACCAACAAAAUAAGCACCGCCUAACUUCGU
This 484-nucleotide ribosomal RNA is filed under the name uncultured bacterium. RNAcentral's name for it is "partial 16S ribosomal RNA". It matches the Rfam family "Bacterial small subunit ribosomal RNA", at positions 30 to 506 of the family's 1533-position model. The record is from RNAcentral.